Molecule: long non-coding RNA, 910 nt
Organism: Canis lupus familiaris (dog)
Lineage: Eukaryota; Metazoa; Chordata; Mammalia; Carnivora; Canidae
Exons: 6
Source: RefSeq, a predicted model, not a curated record
UUUGUACACACUUGCUAGCUGGUGUAAUCAAGAUGGUGGAACUCUGACACCUCUUCUAAGCCCCAGAUCUUUCUCUUCCCUUGACAGAAACACAAAGAGAAGCACACUGGAAGCCUCCGCAAGGGAAAAAGAUGGAAGAUAUGUCAGGCACUGUGGAUGUAAGGGGAGUAAGACCUGGUCUCUGUCCUAAAAGAGCCCCGUUUACUGGAAAAGACAGACAGGAAACAGGAAACGGUCAUGCCAUGCUCUGAUAAGUGCCAUGCCAGAGAUACCAGUACGGAUGAGAGGCAUCUAAUCUAUCCUGAGAUCACUGGAGACCGUCCAGAGAGGGUUCAUUGGAGCAGUGGAAAAAUCAGGCUGCCAUGAUGAAGGAGUGAAUGGAAGAAAGGACACGGUCCCUGGGAAAAGAUGGAAACACUUGAGUGGGUUUCCAGGCUGAAAGGAAAGCCAGCAGAUAUGGAAAGACUAAUGAUAUUGGUGAGAGGACAUAACUCAAGGAAAUGGUCCUGGAGAAAGCUGUCCUAAUGAGCUCUGUAUAAGCUUUCUCUCCAUCUGGCAAGUGGGAACGGACCAGCUAUAUUUCAAGUUUGCUAACAAAGAUGGCUUAAGCCAAUACUAUUCUAACACUGUGCUGUGGCCCAGUGUGCCUGAGUGGAAGAAACCAAGAGAGGAGCAUACUGGCCUCAGGUUCCUCCCCAGUGGCUGACAGGUUAACUGUGCCGUGUCCCGAGGGCUGCGUGCCUCCUCCAGGUGGUUAUGUUGAUAGCCCGCCCCCACCAUCAAACUGCAAUUUUCAUCUGUGCAUCUCUUUAUGUGUUAUAAUACUUAAUUACACUUCAUCUUCAUAUUAACUGAAUCUCACUGAUGUUCACAGAGGCUAAGUGAUUUCCAGUAGGUCAUAGCUACUAAG